GAAUUGAAGAGUUUGAUCAUGGCUCAGAUUGAACGCUGGCGGCAGGCUUAACACAUGCAAGUCGAACGGUAGCAGGAAGAAGCUUGCUUCUUUGCUGACGAGUGGCGGACGGGUGAGUAAUGCUUGGGAAUCUGGCUUAUGGAGGGGGAUAACUACGGGAAACUGUAGCUAAUACCGCGUAGUAUCGAGAGAUGAAAGACUGGGACCGCAAGGCCAGUUGCCAUAAGAUGAGCCCAAGUGGGAUUAGGUAGUUGGUGGGGUAAAGGCCUACCAAGCCGACGAUCUCUAGCUGGUCUGAGAGGAUGACCAGCCACACUGGAACUGAGACACGGUCCAGACUCCUACG
RNAcentral lists this ribosomal RNA (346 nucleotides) under Glaesserella parasuis. RNAcentral describes it as "bacterial SSU rRNA". It matches the Rfam family "Bacterial small subunit ribosomal RNA", at positions 1 to 343 of the family's 1533-position model. Lineage: Bacteria; Pseudomonadati; Pseudomonadota; Gammaproteobacteria; Pasteurellales; Pasteurellaceae. The record is from RNAcentral.